AGCUUGCUCCGCUGCCGAGUGGCGAACGGGUGAGUAAUAUAUCGGAACGUACCCAAGAGUGGGGGAUAACGUAGCGAAAGUUACGCUAAUACCGCAUACGAUCUAAGGAUGAAAGCAGGGGAUCUUCGGACCUUGUGCUCCUGGAGCGGCCGAUAUCUGAUUAGCUAGUUGGUGAGGUAAAGGCUCACCAAGGCGACGAUCAGUAGCUGGUCUGAGAGGACGACCAGCCACACUGGAACUGAGACACGGUCCAAACUCCUACGGGAGGCAGCAGUGGGGAAUUUUGGACAAUGGGCGCAAGCCUGAUCCAGCAAUGCCGCGUGAGUGAAGAAGGCCUUCGGGUUGUAAAGCUCUUUUGUCAGGGAAGAAACGGGAGUGGCUAAUAUCCAUUCCUAAUGACGGUACCUGAAGAAUAAGCACCGGCUAACUACGUGCCAGCAGCCGCGGUAAUACGUAGGGUGCAAGCGUUAAUCGGAAUUACUGGGCGUAAAGCGUGCGCAGGCGGUUUUGUAAGUCUGUCGUGAAAUCCCCGGGCUCAACCUGGGAAUUGCGAUGGAGACUGCAAGGCUAGAAUCUGGCAGAGGGGGGUAGAAUUCCACGUGUAGCAGUGAAAUGCGUAGAGAUGUGGAGGAACACCGAUGGCGAAGGCAGCCCCCUGGGUCAAGAUUGACGCUCAUGCACGAAAGCGUGGG
Molecule: ribosomal RNA, 692 nt
Filed under: uncultured bacterium
Lineage: Bacteria
Description: bacterial SSU rRNA
Rfam family: Bacterial small subunit ribosomal RNA
Source: RNAcentral